RNAcentral lists this ribosomal RNA (776 nucleotides) under uncultured bacterium. RNAcentral describes it as "bacterial SSU rRNA". It matches the Rfam family "Bacterial small subunit ribosomal RNA", at positions 626 to 1401 of the family's 1533-position model. The record is from RNAcentral.
GUUUGAACUGGCGAGCUUGAGUACAUUCGAGGUAAGCGGAAUUCGUGGUGUAGCGGUGAAAUGCAUAGAUAUCACGAAGAACUCCGAUUGCGAAGGCAGCUUACCAGGAUGUUACUGACGCUCAGGCACGAAAGCGUGGGUAUCAAACAGGAUUAGAUACCCUGGUAGUCCACGCAGUAAACGAUGAGCGCUAGGUGUUCGGGGAGAAUGAUUCCUGAGUGCCCGAGCGAAAGCGUUAAGCGCUCCACCUGGGGAGUACGCCGGCAACGGUGAAACUCAAAGGAAUUGACGGGGGCCCGCACAAGCGGAGGAACAUGUGGUUUAAUUCGAUGAUACGCGAGGAACCUUACCCGGGCUCAAACGACUCAGGAAUGAUGGUGAAAGCCGUCCGCCAGCAAUGGUCUGAGUCGAGGUGCUGCAUGGUUGUCGUCAGCUCGUGCCGUGAGGUGUCGGCUUAAGUGCCAUAACGAGCGCAACCCCUACCGCCAGUUGCCAACGGGUAAAGCCGGGAACUCUGGCGGGACUGCCGGCGCAAGCUGUGAGGAAGGCGGGGAUGACGUCAAAUCAGCACGGCCCUUACGUCCGGGGCGACACACGUGUUACAAUGGCAGGUACAGCGGGAAGCCACCUGGUGACAGGGAGCGGAACCCGAAAGCCUGUCUCAGUUCGGAUUGGAGUCUGCAACCCGACUCCAUGAAGCUGGAUUCGCUAGUAAUCGCGCAUCAGCCAUGGCGCGGUGAAUACGUUCCCGGGCCUUGCACACACCGCCCGUCAAG